GGCUGACGACAGCUUUCAGCUGCACCUGAACUAGGCUGGAUUUGUCUCCUGCUCUCCAUAGGCAGAGAAGUGCGUCCAGGCAGUUUGGAGAACUGCUGGCUCAGGCUUCACCUCCACUAAUCCAAGUUCAGUCACUUUCCUCUGAAGAACCUGCAUCAAGCCGUGGUUUUAAGCUGCAGAUGGAGUUCUUCUCGCAGGACUGAAGUGCUGAAGCUCUCUGAGCUCCGAAGGCACCCUGAACUCAUGAGGCUUUUUCUUGGUUGGCAACGUGCUUAAAAAGAAAGAAAUGCAAAUGGGCAUUUCCACGUGACUGUAUUCUGCUCAGUGCAGUGUCUGCCUGUGUUGCAGACUGAGCUCCGUGGCAUUGCAAAGAAUGCACCAAAUCAAGAUGUGGCCGUUGUAUGAAGUAAGUUUGUGGUUGCUGUGAAGCUGGGAGGAAUGUUGACUGCCUUGGGGGUUGAGAGGCCUUGCAGCAAGAUGUGGAGAAAUGUGAGGGUGGUCCCCAUCUGCACGAAGAAGAGCAAGCGCUGCGUUCUGCACCUGGGAUGCGGCAGCCCUGGCUAUAAGCCCUCAGCAAACAGUCGUCCUGUUCCACUUUUGGCCAGUCUCAGAUGCUUGUCUUCCAGAAUGUCUGCGUGUGGAUGAAUCACAACAGGAUCCUGGGAACUUUUAAGAAAGGAAAGAUUGCUUCACGUGUAAUGAAAAGCUAGUGUCCAGAAGAUCACUGCGGCCAGAUGCCAAUUUUGAUGCCCUCGUCAGUAAGACUUGUCCAAGCCCUG
Long non-coding RNA from Gallus gallus (chicken), 779 nucleotides. RefSeq lists it as uncharacterized. The transcript has 6 exons. The record is from RefSeq and is a predicted model, not a curated record. NCBI's taxonomy places the organism in Eukaryota, Metazoa, Chordata, Aves, Galliformes, Phasianidae.